This 740-nucleotide long non-coding RNA is filed under the name Phoenix dactylifera (date palm). Its description in RNAcentral is "long non-coding RNA (PDAC_LNC018660)". The record is from RNAcentral. Lineage: Eukaryota; Viridiplantae; Streptophyta; Magnoliopsida; Arecales; Arecaceae.
AACACUGAGAGGGUCGACCCAAAGGCAGUGACAGAAUAUAUUGACAGAAUAGGUUCUCUGGAAACCCUAAGAGGGUCGACCCAAGUGAAAGUUGAGUCGACCCAACUGAACCUUGAGUCGACCCAAAGAAAUGUUGAGUCGACCCAAGUGAAGGAAGGCUGAAUUAUAAGUUUCUGUGGUUCUGAGAGGGUCGACCCAAGGAAAGGUUGAGUCGACCCAAGUGAAAGUUGGAUCGACCCAAGAAAAGGUUGAGUCGACCCAAGCACGGGCAGAAGCAUAACGGUUAGUUCUACAGAAGUACUUUUUGUCCUUCCAACACUGAGUAACGGCUAGUUUUUGAAUUCUAACCAUUGGGGCUUGUCCAAUGGAUGAAGGAAAUUAUUUAAAGUGGCACUAUUCAUCAGAGAAAACAUUCUUUUGCAAAAUAUCAAAGAGUACACAAGAAAGACAAAGUGCCCUAAUCUUCUUCAUUCAAGUGCUUCAUUCAAGAGUCAAAAGAAAGUGGUUGAGCAGAUUCUAAGAGUCAUUAAGAGCUCCAUCCACCCUUGAAGAGUGAAGCAUCCUUGACAAAGAAGAGAGAAGUCACAUCAAGCGAUAACUAUUCUCCAAACUCUUCUUUGUAGAUUAUAUUGUUAUAUUUGCUCAUCUAGGAGCUUAAAUCUUCUUACUUCGUUUAUUAAACUCCUUGUAAAGGUUAGUUGGUAAGCCCGCAAAACCAACGGUGUAGGUUGAUUGGUGAA